Non-coding RNA from Salmo salar (Atlantic salmon), 68 nucleotides. NCBI's taxonomy places the organism in Eukaryota, Metazoa, Chordata, Actinopteri, Salmoniformes, Salmonidae. The record is from Rfam.
CCCUGUAGCUCAGUUGGUAGAGCAUGGUGUUUGCAAUGCCAGGGUUGUGGGUUCGAUUCCCACAGGGG